GUCUAUGGCCAUACCACCCUGAACGUGCCUGAUCUCGGAAGCUAAGCAGGGUCGAGCCUGGUUAAUACUUGGAUGGGAGAGAUCAAAUCUACUAGAGAGA
RNAcentral lists this ribosomal RNA (100 nucleotides) under Microcebus murinus (gray mouse lemur). Lineage: Eukaryota; Metazoa; Chordata; Mammalia; Primates; Cheirogaleidae. The record is from RNAcentral.